UAGCAAACUCUGCUUAGGAUUGAUGGGUU
RNAcentral lists this non-coding RNA (29 nucleotides) under Rattus norvegicus (Norway rat). Lineage: Eukaryota; Metazoa; Chordata; Mammalia; Rodentia; Muridae. The record is from RNAcentral.